RNAcentral lists this transfer RNA (72 nucleotides) under Marmota monax (woodchuck). RNAcentral's name for it is "tRNA.Ala". The record is from RNAcentral. Lineage: Eukaryota; Metazoa; Chordata; Mammalia; Rodentia; Sciuridae.
UGGGAUGUAACUCAGUGGUAGAGUGUUGGCCCAGCGUGCAUGAGGCCCUGGGUUCUGUCCCCAGCAACACAC